RNAcentral lists this ribosomal RNA (363 nucleotides) under uncultured bacterium. RNAcentral's name for it is "bacterial SSU rRNA". It matches the Rfam family "Bacterial small subunit ribosomal RNA", at positions 29 to 375 of the family's 1533-position model. The record is from RNAcentral.
AACGAACGCUGGCGGCGUGCCUAACACAUGCAAGUCGUGCGAGAAAGUUCCUUCGGGAGCGAGUAAAGCGGCGCACGGGUGAGUAACACGUAGGUAACCUGCCCCCCAGUCUGGAACAACUAGAGGAAACUCUAGCUAAUGCCGGAUGAGACCACGAUCCCUUCGGGGGUUGCGGCCAAAGAUGGCCUCUACUUGUAAGCUAUCGCUGAGGGAUGGGCCUGCGGGCCAUUAGCUUGUUGGUGAGGUAACGGCUCACCAAGGCUGUGAUGGCUAGCUGGUCUGAGAGGAUGACCAGCCACACUGGGACUGAGACACGGCCCAGACUCCUACGGGAGGCAGCAGUGGGGAAUAUUGCGCAAUGGG